This 465-nucleotide ribosomal RNA is filed under the name Vreelandella stevensii. RNAcentral's name for it is "partial 16S ribosomal RNA". It matches the Rfam family "Bacterial small subunit ribosomal RNA", at positions 338 to 795 of the family's 1533-position model. Lineage: Bacteria; Pseudomonadati; Pseudomonadota; Gammaproteobacteria; Oceanospirillales; Halomonadaceae. The record is from RNAcentral.
CCUACGGGCGGCAGCAGUGGGGAAUAUUGGACAAUGGGGGGAACCCUGAUCCAGCCAUGCCGCGUGUGUGAAGAAGGCCCUCGGGUUGUAAAGCACUUUCAGUGAGGAAGAACGCCUGGUGGUUAAUACCCAUCAGGAAAGACAUCACUCACAGAAGAAGCACCGGCUAACUCCGUGCCAGCAGCCGCGGUAAUACGGAGGGUGCGAGCGUUAAUCGGAAUUACUGGGCGUAAAGCGCGCGUAGGUGGCUUGAUAAGCCGGUUGUGAAAGCCCCGGGCUCAACCUGGGAACGGCAUCCGGAACUGUCAAGCUAGAGUGCAGGAGAGGAAGGUAGAAUUCCCGGUGUAGCGGUGAAAUGCGUAAAGAUCGGGAGGAAUACCAGUGGCGAAGGCGGCCUUCUGGACUGACACUGACACUGAGGUGCGAAAGCGUGGGUAGCAAACAGGAUUAGAUACCCUUGUAGUC